GCUCUUCUUAUUUUGAGAUAUGUCCCACCAAUACCUAGUUCAUGGAGAGUUUUUAACAUGAGGGGAUGUUGAAUUUUAUCAAAGGCCUUUUCUGUGCCUAUUGAGAUAAUCAUGUGGUUUUUGUCAUUAGUUCUGUUUAUGUGAUGGAUUACAUUUAUUGAUUUGUGUAUGUUGGACCAGCCCUGCAUCUCACAGAUGAAGCUGACUUGAUCAUGAUGACUGCCUUUUCACUUAACUGUGUCCUCAUAUGGAAGAGAGGAGAAAAGAGGAGAGGAGGGGAGAGCAAUACUAAACUGAUACACAAAGGAUCCCCGUACUUCAUCAAAAUAUCAAUGUUGUCCAUGACACACAAAGAACCCAGCUGUAGUUUAAUUCAGCAUCACAGUCCCAACAUGUUUUAAAACAUGUUCCAGCUUUUGGUCCCAGGAUUAUUCAACCUAGCUCAUAAAAGAAAACAAUAUUGCAUUUCUAAGUAUUGGCUCCUAGAAUUGGCAAGUUUAGUCAAGAAAAGCUGGAAUGCCGUUAAAACAACACCCUGUCAUCUUUCAAUCAGUCCUUAGCUGAAGUUAAAAUCCCACUCAUUCUGCAUGAUCCAGCCUCUGUAGCAUAGAGUGAGUAGCCCCUUAACAAGAACCAAAAUGGAGGGUACGGAUGAGGCUCAGAUCGUCACCACCUGGAGAAUAGAGACAGUGACUGAGUCACCAGGAAAUCUGUCCCCUGCUCAUCCCAGAAUCCCCGAGCUUUGACUUUUUAAGAGAACAUGUGACAGAUAAUGCCAUCUGAGAAGGAUUGCCUCCUUUACUGUAUGUUUUCCACUGAGAUGAAGAUUUUGGUCAUUUCCUCAUUCAUGUUCCUGCUUUUCAAAACCCAAGCAAGAAAGGAAACUUCUACAGUGACUUUCUCAUUAUGAAAUCUUAGCAUUCACUAGUCGGCCAUAAUGGAAAACCAGCCAAAUGGACACAUAUACACUGGUCUGUACCCGCAGAGAAAGAAAUGCAAAUCUCUGUGAUCAGAAAACUAUCCUAUCUUGUACAUUGUUAAAAGUCUGCCUCCAAAAAGUUUACUUCUGGAAUACUGUAAUUGAAUAGAAUCAGGGAUCCUACCUGUGUCCUUCAACUUUCACAUCUUGUCUACUCAAGUAAGGGUUGAAUUUGCAUGACUAUAUCUAAGGUUCGAGGGCUUACCUGUUGGCAGUAGACCCAGUAGUCUAUGAAUGGAAAUGGGCAAACCUGUGACCUCCCAAAACUUUAAUAUGAAAGUUUUGUUUGUGUAUACUCAUGGCAUUAUUCUUUUAAUAAAGAGAUAAUCUAUAUAGUUUUCUUUUUUAAAAG
This is a long non-coding RNA of Homo sapiens (human), 1331 nucleotides long. Ensembl annotates it as long intergenic non-protein coding RNA 1208. The record is from Ensembl. Lineage: Eukaryota; Metazoa; Chordata; Mammalia; Primates; Hominidae.